This 2132-nucleotide long non-coding RNA is filed under the name Macaca mulatta (Rhesus monkey). Its description in RNAcentral is "lncRNA (ENSMMUG00000053876.1)". The record is from RNAcentral. Lineage: Eukaryota; Metazoa; Chordata; Mammalia; Primates; Cercopithecidae.
GAUAAAUUCUGAACAUUUCAUGUGUAUUUUGUUAUUUCAAGGUCACAACAGACUUUUAAAAAAAAACAGAGAGUAGACUGGGCAAGGUGCUUCACAGCUAUAAUCUAAGCACUUUGGGAGGCUGAGGUGGAGGGAUCUCUGGAGCUCACGAGUUUGAGACCAGCCUGGGCAACAUGGUGAAACCCCAUCUCUACAAAACGUACAAAAAAUUAGCCAGUUGUGAUGGCACAUACCUGGGAGGAACACCUGAGCUUGGCAAGGUCAAAGCUUCAGUGAGCCAUGAUUUCACCGCUGCACUCCAGCAUGGGCAGAGUGAGAACCUGUCUUAAAAUAAGAAAAAGAAAAAAUAGACAGUAAGUAGGUACUGUUAUUAUCUUCACCAGACAGAUGAGAGCUUUGAGCCACAAAGAAGCUGAGAGACUCACAUAAGUUAAUAAAUUGCCCGAGUGAAUGGACAACAGUAAACUAUGGAGACAAGGUCAUUGUGUGAAAUGAUGAAAUGCAUCUUCAUAAGAAAGCGCAAGAACUUGAAUUUGAGAAGAAAAAUAUAAAAGGAAAAAUAUUCUAGAAUCAGAUAUGAAAAUCACCGUGUCAGAUUAUGAAGCUGGAAUUUAUUCUUUGAAAAAUAGAAGAAAACAAGAUAAAACUAUGAAGAACGCAUUGCUGCUGCUUUAACAAUACUCAGAGAUGUUAUCACCAAAAGCCAUCAGUAACUGCCACAUGAGGCAGUCCCUACAAGGAGAGCAUUGCCUUCUGGUGUAUUGUGACAAGCUCAUCUGCAUGCAUGCACGAGUUCAUAUAGGACUGACAUUUUUGAAAGAACACCACAGCUUGAGAAAUAGAAAGAAGCUUUAGAUCAUCCAAUCCAGGUGAUUUUCACACAAAGUUUGACUGUAAAACUUUUUAGUGAAGAUGCUUUUCUACUCAGUAUACAUUUACUGAGCACAUACACAUAUGUAAAUACAGAUAUGAAUAAAAUACAGUGCUUAUCUUAGAAAUGAUUCUGUUUAAUAAAGGCAUCUUUCUCUCACUCUGUCAAACAGACAUGUAUGUGCACACACACACACAUGCAUGCACAUGCACCCCACAAUGCUCCUUGAAUUUAUAAAUAAAAGGGAGCUAUAGAAUGGGCAGAGGGGUGAGGGUUGGGGAGAUUGAGAAAAGCGUUGCAGGGGAACUGUGAGAAGGAAAGGUUUUCUAGUAACACAUAUUACUUGACCUGGUAUUGGAGGCAUGAAAAAAUAUUUCAAAGGCCGAAAUUUAAAAAGAAGUUAUUCCAGGCAUGAGAGUGGUAUGAACAAAGGCAGAAGCCUGAUAACAUAAAAAAUUAGAGAAAAUAAAUAUAGGCCACAAUUUACAGACUUAAAGGUCUACUUUAAGGACAGCGUGGGUCCAUUCUGACAGGAUAUUGAUAGUUAAAGAUGGGCUUUGGGGAGAUUGUUCUGGUAACAGGGCCCUUUGCUGGGUAAAGACAGAAUUAGAAGAGGAAAUGACAUUUGUAAUGGGAGCAUCACCCAAUUUUCUCUCUACACAACCCUGUAGUCACUCCUGGGGUGACUUUACAGAAACCAGAGGGUUCCACAGACAGGAUUUAAAAGUUCUUUUUCUUUUUUUUUGAGUCCAUCUCUCACAUUUCACAACUGAAGGAACCAUGGCUUGGAGUUCAUGAAUAACUUGAGCAAGAUCAUACAACAAUCUAUUCUUGAGAUUUUGCUUCAUAGCACUCAACUAUGGAUCGGUAGCUAUAAACUGCUUCAAGGCAUUUUCUCCUGAUUACUUCAUACCAUAGUGAUUUGCUUUUCCUGGAUAUAGUCUCAGUUUUUCUUGUAAUUACCAGUUCCUUAAGAAAAACAGAGUUCAUUAGAUUUCAUGGACAUUAGCAGACCAGCAGGUGUCUAUUACAAUGUCUAUGUAUUCUUGAUCACUAUUAUAAUUAUUGCCAUUGUUAUUAUCAUUUGAAGUGCCCAAAAUUGUGUGUUUUCAGAGUCAUGAAGUGUCUUGACAUUUAAUUUUUAAGAAUUUCAUUUAAGAGCCAAAAGUUGCAAUUGCAUAGUCUAGGAGACAUUUAGAUGUUAACAACUCCUUUUAGAAUGAAACACAUGGUAAUAACCUAUUUAUAUUGAAGAUAAAUG